Molecule: non-coding RNA, 65 nt
Filed under: unclassified sequences
Description: S15-Flavobacteria ribosomal protein leader
Rfam family: S15-Flavobacteria ribosomal protein leader
Source: RNAcentral
UAUAUUUGCCGCCUGAAAGAAAGACUUUCAGCAUACAUAAUAAUCAUUGAAAUAAUAUUGGAAUG